AAGCGGUGGAUGACGUGGUUUAAUUCGAUGCAACGCGAAAACCUUACCCACCUUUGACAUGUACGGAACCUUUAGAGAUAGAGGGUGCUCGAAAGAGAGCCGUAACACAGGUGCUGCAUGGCUGUCGUCAGCUCGUGUCGUGAGAUGUUGGGUUAAGUCCCGCAACGAGCGCAACCCUUGUCAUUAGUUGCUACAUUCAGUUGGGCACUCUAAUGAGACUGCCGGUGACAAGCCGGAGGAAGGUGAGGAUGAUGUCAAGUCAGCAUGACCUUUAUAUCCAGGGCUACACACACGCUACAAUGGUCUGUACAAUGGGUAGCCAAGCCGCGAGGCGGAGCCAAUCCUGAAAGCAGGCCUCAGUUCAGAUUGCAGUCUGCAACUCGACUGCAUGAAGCCGGAGUUGCUAGUAACCGCAGGUCAGCAAUACUGCGGUGAAUACGUUCCCGGGUCUU
This 452-nucleotide ribosomal RNA is filed under the name uncultured Rhodoferax sp. RNAcentral's name for it is "bacterial SSU rRNA". It matches the Rfam family "Bacterial small subunit ribosomal RNA", at positions 927 to 1382 of the family's 1533-position model. The record is from RNAcentral. Lineage: Bacteria; Pseudomonadati; Pseudomonadota; Betaproteobacteria; Burkholderiales; Comamonadaceae.